AGGACGAACGCUGGCGGCGUGCUUAACACAUGCAAGUCGAGCGGAAAGGCCCUUCGGGGUACUCGAGCGGCGAACGGGUGAGUAACACGUGAGCAACCUGCCCCUGGCUCUGGGAUAGCCUCCGGAAACGGGGAUUAAUACCGGACAUGACUCCUGACCGCAUGGUUGGGGGUGGAAAGUUUUUCGGCCAGGGUGGGCUCGCGGCCUAUCAGCUUGUUGGGGGGGUGACGGCCCACCAAGGCGACGACGGGUAGCCGGCCUGAGAGGGCGACCGGCCACACUGGGACUGAGACACGGCCCAGACUCCUACGGGAGGCAGCAGUGGGGAAUCUUGCGCAAUGCGCGAAAGCGUGACGCAGCAACGCCGCGUGGGGGAAGACGGCCUUCGGGUUGUAAACCCCUUUCACGGAGGGACGAAGGUUCGCCGGUGAAUGGCCGUGCGGAUUGACGGUACCUCCACAAGAAGGUCCGGCUAACUACGUGCUAGCAGCCGC
RNAcentral lists this ribosomal RNA (494 nucleotides) under uncultured bacterium. Its description in RNAcentral is "SSU rRNA". It matches the Rfam family "Bacterial small subunit ribosomal RNA", at positions 26 to 518 of the family's 1533-position model. The record is from RNAcentral.